GCCGGGCGAGGUGGUGGGCGCCUGUAGUCCCAGCUACUCGGGAGGCUGAGGCAGGAGAAUGGCAUGAACCUGGGAGGCGGAGCUUGCAGUGAGCUGAGAUCUGGCCACUGCACUCCAGCCUGGGAGACAGAGUGAGACUCCGUCUCAAAAAAAAAAAAAAAAAAAAAAAAAAGAGAUGGGGUCUCACUCAGUCGCCCAGGUUGGAGUGCAGUGGUGCGAUCUCAGCUCACUGCAAGCUCUGCCUCCUGGGUUCACACCAUUCUCCUGCCUC
RNAcentral lists this signal recognition particle RNA (271 nucleotides) under Macaca mulatta (Rhesus monkey). RNAcentral describes it as "Metazoan signal recognition particle RNA (ENSMMUG00000060647.1)". It matches the Rfam family "Metazoan signal recognition particle RNA". Rfam says of the family: The signal recognition particle (SRP) is a universally conserved ribonucleoprotein. It is involved in the co-translational targeting of proteins to membranes. Lineage: Eukaryota; Metazoa; Chordata; Mammalia; Primates; Cercopithecidae. The record is from RNAcentral.